RNAcentral lists this ribosomal RNA (485 nucleotides) under uncultured bacterium. Its description in RNAcentral is "partial 16S ribosomal RNA". It matches the Rfam family "Bacterial small subunit ribosomal RNA", at positions 28 to 507 of the family's 1533-position model. The record is from RNAcentral.
GAUGAACGCUAGCGACAGGCUUAACACAUGCAAGUCGAGGGGCAGCACAGGUAGCAAUACCGGGUGGCGACCGGCGCACGGGUGAGUAACGCGUAUGCAACUUACCUAUCAGAGGGGGAUAACCCGCCGAAAGUCGGACUAAUACCGCAUGAAGCAGGGGUCCCGCAUGGGGAUAUUUGCUAAAGAUUCAUCGCUGUUCGAUAGGCCUGCGUUCCAUUAGGCAGUUGGCGGGGUAACGGCCCACCAAACCGAGGAUGGAUACGGGUUCUGAGAGGAAGGUCCCCCACAUUGGGACUGAGACACGGACCAAACGCCUACGGGAGGCAGCAGUGAGGAAGAGUGGUCAAUGGGCGAGAGGCUGAACCAGCCAAGUCGCGUGAGGGAUGAAGGUGCUAUGGAUCGUAAACCUCUUUGAUGAGAGAAUAAAGUGCGGGACGUGUCCCGUUUUGUCGGUACCUGAUGAAUAAGGAUCGGCUAACUCCGUG